Molecule: transfer RNA, 77 nt
Filed under: Wenzhouxiangella sp.
Lineage: Bacteria; Pseudomonadati; Pseudomonadota; Gammaproteobacteria; Chromatiales; Wenzhouxiangellaceae
Also listed under: 1 other name
Description: tRNA-Arg
Rfam family: tRNA
About the family: Transfer RNA (tRNA) molecules are approximately 80 nucleotides in length. Their secondary structure includes four short double-helical elements and three loops (D, anti-codon, and T loops). Further hydrogen bonds mediate the characteristic L-shaped molecular structure. tRNAs have two regions of fundamental functional importance: the anti-codon, which is responsible for specific mRNA codon recognition, and the 3' end, to which the tRNAs corresponding amino acid is attached (by aminoacyl-tRNA synthetases). tRNAs cope with the degeneracy of the genetic code in two manners: having more than one tRNA (with a specific anti-codon) for a particular amino acid; and 'wobble' base-pairing, i.e. permitting non-standard base-pairing at the 3rd anti-codon position.
Source: RNAcentral
GCCCCGGUAGCUCAGCAGGACAGAGCAGCCGCCUCCUAAGCGGCAGGUCGCAGGUUCGAAUCCUGCCCGGGGCGCCA